AUAAAGGUUUCCACACCAAUCUCUGCUAGGCAGCAGCCAGGAGAUGAACACCUGUCUGAGAGAAAAGUCUGGAAAAAAACAGUGUUGAAAGGAGCCCUCCUCGUCCCUGGAAGCAGAGAGUUGCAGAGCUAAUGCUCUGAGAUCUUCUGAUAGGGAUGAAAGAAAUGGAGGCAACACGGAGAACUCUUCUGGAACAACCACAAAAGAACCCUCAAGGAGUAGGUGGAAAGGCAAGCAAGUAAAGGCACUGCCUCCCACUCCCUGUGCUAGCUUGGCUAAGUCCCUGAGCCCCACUAGACCACUGUUUCCCCACCUGCAAAAAGUAAGAGGCUCCACUGGACAGUCUCCCAAGUCCCUUCUAAGUGGAUCAUUGCAUGACUUGGUGAGACAGUUCUUGCCUAUCUCUCUUCCCACUCCAUCUCCUCCUUCCUUGGUCUCAAGCUUCUGUCUUCUUCCUUCCUGCUCCCCACUCUGUCUAGAACACCACAGCCUUUUUUUAAAGUUACUCUGCCCAUGCUGCAACAAUGAAGAAACUCUGACAUCUCCAUCAACAGAUCUCUCCCAGAAAUGAAAACAUCAAAAACAGGUUUCCAGCAGAAGGUGGCAUUCAAGUUGAAUCUUGAAGGAAGCCAGGGGAUUCCAAGAGACAGAAGAGAGGAAGGAGUCUUUCAGACAUGGGUGAUGACCAGUGCAAAAAGCAGAAAUGGGAGAAAACAGAAACAGAAGGAAGCAGAAGUAAACACGAAAAAGCCUUUGGAAGAUUAUUACAAGAAACAUAUGGGUGUUUACACUGGGUAUAAAGGUUCCCAAACCUGCUCCAUGAGGAGGUCCUGAUGGUUCUAAUUAGCACCAUCAUCUGCAACUACCUAAGAUCCUAGUAUCUUUGGGUCAGCUUGAUUUAGACAAUAUAUCUGCUAAAGGGGGAAAAAAGUAUUGUGUUGUAAAGCAGGAUUAAUGAAGACCAAUUCAGAAACUUCCUUAGGGGAGAAGAAAUGGCCUGACUCUUCCCUGUGGUACACACACCCAAAAAAAACAAACAAACAAACAAAAACUUCAGAAAACCUACAUCUGGGGCAUCCUAAUCUCUGAGAAAUAGCCACCAAUUAAAGCUGUUACAUGAUAUAAACA
This is a long non-coding RNA of Phascolarctos cinereus (koala), 1128 nucleotides long. RefSeq lists it as uncharacterized. Lineage: Eukaryota; Metazoa; Chordata; Mammalia; Diprotodontia; Phascolarctidae. The record is from RefSeq and is a predicted model, not a curated record.